UAGAAACAGUAGGGGAUUCCAGUAA
RNAcentral lists this non-coding RNA (25 nucleotides) under Rattus norvegicus (Norway rat). The record is from RNAcentral. Lineage: Eukaryota; Metazoa; Chordata; Mammalia; Rodentia; Muridae.